RNAcentral lists this ribosomal RNA (609 nucleotides) under Triticum aestivum (bread wheat). RNAcentral's name for it is "partial small subunit ribosomal RNA". Lineage: Eukaryota; Viridiplantae; Streptophyta; Magnoliopsida; Poales; Poaceae. The record is from RNAcentral.
AUGUGGAACGCCCUGUGGAAACUCAAAGUGAUCUCAAAGGUACGAGCGUUCUGGUGGAGGGUACUACGAGGGAUUCUACCAGAUGAAUGCACUCUCAAGUAUCGCCAUAUUGCAGUCUUAGACACUUGCAAAGUGUGUCUGGCUAAGGAGGAGGACCUCAUGCAUGCUCUUAUUCAAUGCUCCCAUGCACGUCGCUUCUGGGAUGAAGCUUGUGCCUGGUUUGGCCUGCGGCUUCCUCGCUUACACCCACGUUCUUGGGCCAGAGAUAUUCUAUGUGGAGAUCGGUUCAAGGAUGAAGAUCGAGCAAAGGUAAUCACCAUCAUGUGGACAAUCUGGCAUUCUCAUAACCGGAUCAAGCAUGGCAAAGAGGGAAGGGACCCAACAGCCGCUAUCAGGUCGACUAGGGAGGCCCUUGCGCUGCUGGAACUGCCCCGGAAUACACCUAGUGUACUACCAAGUCAUGGCUGGCGGCCGCCUGAGCCAGGCAUGAUCAAGAUCACGACGGAUGGCACACUUAACAUCGCGGAAGGUAGAGGAGGUGCGGGUGGCAUAGCCUGCUCGGCGUCCAUGUUAUUGGGAGCAUGGAGCAAACCGUUCGACGAUAUUUGA